AGUGAACGCUGGCGGUAGGCCUAACACAUGCAAGUCGAACGGCAGCACAGUAAGAGCUUGCUCUUACGGGUGGCGAGUGGCGGACGGGUGAGGAAUACAUCGGAAUCUACUUUUUCGUGGGGGAUAACGUAGGGAAACUUACGCUAAUACCGCAUACGACCUACGGGUGAAAGCAGGGGGUCUUCGGACCUUGCGCGAUUGAAUGAGCCGAUGUCGGAUUAGCUAGUUGGCGGGGUAAGGGCCCACCAAGGCGACGAUCCGUAGCUGGUCUGAGAGGAUGAUCAGCCACACUGGAACUGAGACACGGUCCAGACUCCUACGGGAGGCAGCAGUGGGGAAUAUUGGACAAUGGGCGCAAGCCUGAUCCAGCCAUACCGCGUGGGUGAAGAAGGCCUUCGGGUUGUAAAGCCCUUUUGUUGGGAAAGAAAAGCAGCAGGUUAAUACCCCGCUGUUCUGACGGUACCCAAAGAAUAAGCACCGGCUAACUUCGUG
Molecule: ribosomal RNA, 492 nt
Filed under: uncultured bacterium
Lineage: Bacteria
Description: partial 16S ribosomal RNA
Rfam family: Bacterial small subunit ribosomal RNA
Source: RNAcentral